RNAcentral lists this unclassified non-coding RNA (211 nucleotides) under plant metagenome. Its description in RNAcentral is "partial contains small subunit ribosomal RNA and internal transcribed spacer 1". The stretch from base 1 to 46 matches the Rfam family "Eukaryotic small subunit ribosomal RNA", at positions 1786 to 1831 of the family's 1831-position model. The record is from RNAcentral.
AAGUCGUAACAAGGUUUCCGUAGGUGAACCUGCGGAAGGAUCAUUAAAGAGACGUUGCCCUUCGGGGUAUACCUCCCACCCAUUGUUUAUUAUACCUUUGUUGCUUUGGCAGACCCGGCUUCGGCCCACCGGCUCCGGCUGGUCAGUGUCUGCCAGAGGACCUAAAACUCUGUUUGUUAAUAUUGUCUGAGUACUAUAUAAUAGUUAAAAC